RNAcentral lists this ribosomal RNA (397 nucleotides) under Aquarius lili. Its description in RNAcentral is "partial 16S ribosomal RNA". Lineage: Eukaryota; Metazoa; Arthropoda; Insecta; Hemiptera; Gerridae. The record is from RNAcentral.
CUGUUAUCCCUGAGGUAAGUUAAUCUUAUAAUCAAAAAUUCUGGAUCAAAAAAAACAUAAAUUAAUGAAAAAAAUAUUAAAAGUUAAAUAAAUUUUAAUGUCACCCCAACAAAACUUUAUAUUCUAAAAAAUUGUAUAAUAAACAAAAAACAAUAAUUAAUAAAUAAAGUAAACUUCUACAGGGUCUUCUCGUCCUAUAAGAAAAUUUUAGCUUUUUAACUAAAAAAUUAAAUUCAAAAUAAUUAAAAAAAGAAAGACUAUUUUUCAUUAGACCAUUCAUUCUAGCCUUCAAUUAAAAGACAAAUGAUUAUGCUACCUUCGUACAGUUAAAAUACCGCAGCCUUUUAAUUAGAAAAAUCAAUGGGCAGGCCUGAUCUUAAAUUAAAAUCAAAAGACC